Molecule: long non-coding RNA, 2269 nt
Organism: Vombatus ursinus (common wombat)
Lineage: Eukaryota; Metazoa; Chordata; Mammalia; Diprotodontia; Vombatidae
Exons: 4
Source: RefSeq, a predicted model, not a curated record
AGGCCGGCGACUGCAGGCGGCGGGCCCGGGCCUCGGUCCUCUCCUCAGCCCUGAGCAGCCUAUUAUGAUGUUGAAAACCGGAUUUCCAAUUAUUAAGUCAUCAGCAGAAGCAACCUCAAGCACUAGUGCUCCUUUCUGCCUUGGAACCAAGACCAGGACCCCUACUCCCUGAACUGAAGGCCAAGAGGAGCCCAGUUGCAACUGUCUUCCAACUCCAAGGUAUAGAUACUUGCUGUCAUUCCUUUGACCUGUGUCUUCUGACCAAGCCCACCAUAAGCUUCUUGUUUCUAAUCUCUUGAAGAAUAAAUGGACUCUAGUACUAUUCCGACUCUUAUUUCCAUUUGUUUGAGAGCUAACCCAGCUUUUAAUCAGAGAGGAGGUACUAAAUCUUCUGAAAAUGUCUGUGGCCCCUCCAGGCAGAAAUACAUCUUGCUCUUUCUUUUGAUGGUACUGUGAGAUUUGUCAGUGCACAGAAAUUGUAAAGAUCGCCCUGUUCUCCAGUCUUCCCCAAACCUUCAGAAUAUGCCCAGAAUGACCAAGAACAUUUGCUAUUCCUUGCUAUAGGACGAAAGCCCAGAAUUUCAAGCAUGUUGGUACAAGUUUAAAAGGAGGAUUUGCUCUGUUUUCUAGUCCAGUUUUAUAAAGGUCAGAGAAACAGAACCCUCUUUGGUGUCUUAUUUUCCAAAGGAAACUUGGAAAAAUCUUAGUACUAUUUGAUUAAAUUUCUAUGGUUUUGCACAGAUACUUUUUGCCCUACAAAUGAUUUAAUUAAUUAGCGAGGGAUGAGUUAGGUUUUCAAACUGUUCAUCUACAUACCAUUAGUAUAACUGGCUAUUCAAAGUAUGGGUCAGUAAAAUCAAGAAUGCAAUGCAGUUUUAGUGUUAGAAUCUUCUGGAGAAUGUGGAGCAACAAACUCAAUAAAUAUGCUAGAAAAAUUGGUUUUAAGGCACUUUUUUCCUUCAUUGCUCCAGUAUUAACUUUUCAUGGAGGAUAGUCUAUAAUAGAUUUAUUAAUUAGGUGCUGUCAAAUAAUGUUUACAGUAUUGCCUACUGUGCUUGAUGGAAUCAUUUCCUUUAUAACAUUUUUGAAUAUUUUGUUAAAAUAAAUUUAACAAGUAUAAGUAUUUGUAGUCUUAAGAACAGUAUGAAUGGAAGGAAUAAUUGGUCUAAAUUUCAGGAACUAAAUAUUAUGAAUGUGGCCUAAGCUAGCAGGUUGGUUCACAGUGCAGCUGCCAAAUAGAAGAAUUGCAGAAGAAUGAAUGGGCUCCUAGGAAGAGGUAGUAGGUUGCAUAGUUUUAGGGCAGGGAUUUUGCCCACAAGCAGUUAACUAUACAACCUGCUGCCUUUCUUAGGGCUCUAUGAUUACAACGGAACCUGUUCUUGCCUCAGUUUAAGUAGAUGUCUCCAUGUUAAACGGGGGUGAGGGUGGGAGAAAAAUAGAGCUAUACAAAAAGCACAAGUAUAAUUAGUGAUGUAUAUUGAAGUAACAGCAGGUUUGGUCACAGCCUGCAAUUACUAGGAUUCCUCAAUAAAAAUCAUAGCUACUGAAUUUAUUUAGGUAUCAAGAACAUUAGCCUAACGAUCUGAAAAUAGCGGUUGGGUUCACAAGAUGAACUUGGACGAAAAAUCUAUUUAGUUGUAUUUAAAACUUCUUUAUUAUUUAAUCCAGAGAGAUCAGUGUGUUUAUUAUUGAUGAGGUAUAUAUUCAUGUAACCUAGGUCUUUAAUAUUAAGUCUAGAUGUGUCACAUGAUAUUGUUUAAUUUUUGUGUGUGGGGGGGUGCCUAUAAAUUGCCUCUUUAAAAUAUUGUGAAUUUCCUUAGAAUAUCAAGAUGCCAAAUGUGAGUAGUCAUGCUGUUCUAUAAAUUAUUAUUUUAAUAGUACAGAGAGAAUACAAUUAUGUUUUUAGGACAUGCUUAGAAAAAUUUUUUCAGUAGUGGACAGCUUAGAAACUUUUUCAGUAAUAGAUUGGAAUAGAUGGCCUUGGAGCUUUGCAAUAGAUUCUCUGAAAACUGGGUGCAUGUAAAUGUAAACUUUCCCUAUUCUCACUUCCCUAAAGAAUAGAUAGCCUCUUCCAAUUUGUUGGGCUUUAAAAAAUAUCUGUUAUUUGAGUUAAAGCUGUAUGAUAAAAAUUGUUGGAUAUUCGAUUUAAUUUUAUUCCCCCCUCCCCAAGAUUUUGUGUUAACUGCUACUUUAAUUUGCUUAUUGUGAACUCUUGCGUAUGUGUAGGGGAGAAUGAGCUAUCAGCAAAUAAAAAUCUGUUCCAAAUCUG